UAGUAACGGCGAGUGAAGCGGGAUGAGCUCAAGCUUAAAAUCUCUGUGCCAGUUUGGCAUGGCGAAUUGUAGUCUAUGGAGGCGCUGUCAGUGCGACUAUGCGGGGUAAGUUCCUUGGAAGAGGACAGCAUCGAGGGUGAUACUCCCGUAUGUACCUGUGUAGUUGCGCGUACGACACGUUUUCUUUGAGUCGCGUUGUUUGGGAAUGCAGCGCAAAGUAGGUGGUAAAUUCCAUCUAAAGCUAAAUAUUGGUGCGAGACCGAUAGCGAACAAGUACCGUGAGGGAAAGAUGAAAAGAACUUUGAAAAGAGAGUUAAAGAGUACCUGAAACUGCUGAAAGGGAACCGAAUCGUUUCCAGUGUCUAUAAUCUAUGGCAUAUUUCAUUGGCGCGUGGAUGUGUGUAGCGUUUUGGAAGUAGGUUUCUGCUCCUGGCGUUGCUUUGCGUUCGCUUGCUGGUGCCCUGUGCUGUAGUGGGACGUCAGAGUCAGUUCGUAUGCUGCGGGAAAUGGUUAUUGGGGAGGUAGGUCGCUUCGGUGGCUGUUAUAUCCUGGUAACUAGUCGUCGUGGUUGGGACUGAGGUGCCUACAACGCGCUUUCGAGUCUGCGGGCCUCUCGUUUGGCUGUUUGCUUUGAUAGCUUGCUAUGUUAGUGAACGUGUUAGGCGAUUGAGACCUGUAGUAACUUGUUGCCGUUCGGGACUUUGAC
RNAcentral lists this ribosomal RNA (706 nucleotides) under Pythium deliense. Its description in RNAcentral is "eukaryotic LSU rRNA". It matches the Rfam family "Eukaryotic large subunit ribosomal RNA", at positions 81 to 632 of the family's 3401-position model. The record is from RNAcentral. Lineage: Eukaryota; Oomycota; Peronosporomycetes; Pythiales; Pythiaceae.